This 120-nucleotide microRNA precursor is filed under the name Pristionchus pacificus. Its description in RNAcentral is "microRNA ppc-mir-2259 precursor". The record is from miRBase by way of RNAcentral. Lineage: Eukaryota; Metazoa; Nematoda; Chromadorea; Rhabditida; Neodiplogasteridae.
GGAUAAUAGUUGGGUGCUGAUCCUCCGGUCCAAUUGGCAAGAUUAACUAGCUUACUGCUGUGCAUUGAAUUGACAGUGAGUUAGUUUUUCUAGCCUACUGGCAUGGAUCAACCUCAUUCC